GCCAGACUCCUACGGGAGGCAGCAGUGGGGGAUAUUGCACAAUGGGGGAAACCCUGAUGCAGCGACGCCGCGUGUGGGAAGACGGUCUUCUGGAUUGUAAACCACUGUCCCCAGGGACGAAAAUGACGGUACCUGGGGAGGAAGCUCCGGCUAACUACGUGCCAGCAGCCGCGGUAAUACGUAGGUGGCAAGCGUUAUCCGGAUUUACUGGGUGUAAAGGGCGUGUAGGCGGGGACGCAAGUCAGAUGUGAAAACCAUGGGCUCAACCUGUGGCCUGCAUUUGAAACUGUGUUUCUUGAGUACUGGAGAGGCAGACGGAAUUCCUAGUGUAGCGGUGAAAUGCGUAGAUAUUAGGAGGAACACCAGUGGCGAAGGCGACUUUCUGGACUGUACCUGACGCUGAGGCGCGAAAGCGUGGGUAGCGAACGGGAUUAGAUACCCCCGUA
RNAcentral lists this ribosomal RNA (446 nucleotides) under uncultured bacterium. Its description in RNAcentral is "bacterial SSU rRNA". It matches the Rfam family "Bacterial small subunit ribosomal RNA", at positions 330 to 792 of the family's 1533-position model. The record is from RNAcentral.